AUGGUGGUCCUCAUUGGGGAGAUGGAGAUCUUCCCCCCUGCUGGUGCUUUGGACAUGAGCGAUGGGACUCGCGAUGAUGAGAGCGACCUGUCUUCGCCAGCCACGCCUGUGGGACCGGGCCGGGCCUUUGGAGAUGCGCGGCAGGCAGCACUGGUUGGCUGCAAAUCAGCCUGUCUGACGAGGGAGAUGUGGGGGGCUAGACCUCUUUCCCCCAUCCCGAGGUUGAUUCGCAUGCGGCUGUCGGGAAUCCAUGCAGAUGUUGAGGGUGGGCACGUCCGUAGCAACAGCCUCACUCUAUGCGCCAAUCCCUCAGCGACUGCGAUGGCCUUUUGCAACGGCAUCCAAUGUGCUGUGACUCCAUUGUUGCCGGCGCCGCGGAUGUUGGAUGGGGAGCCUAGCUCGCGUCGCCCUAGGAGGAAAUAUCAGGCAGCAGGCUCGCGAAGGAGGAGCGUCAGGAUCGCUAAGUCUAGGUGGCCAUCUUCGGCCACCAAACAGCAGCAGAUUAUUAUCCGCAAGCUUUGCUUGGCUCAUGAGGGGGACACGAUUGGGGACGAGGCCCUGCAGAUGUACGUGCAACUUUUCAAGUCGCCGCUCUCGGACGAGCACAUCAGGGCUUUGCUAGCUCUGUUUGGCUGGGAGGCUUCGGCGUUGCCGUUGGUGGAUGUGCCACAGGAGGUGGCCGGGGCUCUCUGA
This 693-nucleotide ribosomal RNA is filed under the name Triticum aestivum (bread wheat). RNAcentral's name for it is "partial small subunit ribosomal RNA". The record is from RNAcentral. Lineage: Eukaryota; Viridiplantae; Streptophyta; Magnoliopsida; Poales; Poaceae.